Molecule: long non-coding RNA, 1145 nt
Organism: Paramisgurnus dabryanus
Lineage: Eukaryota; Metazoa; Chordata; Actinopteri; Cypriniformes; Cobitidae
Source: RefSeq, a predicted model, not a curated record
GAAAACACAUGCAUAUAGAUAAAACACCAGCAAAUAGAGAAAACAUCUUCAUCAGUUUGACAACACAUACGCUGCAAAUAUCGCAACACAUCCAAAUACAGAAAUGCGUUGCAAAUUCUUACAACACGAACAAAAACAGAAACGCGUUCCAAAUCUCACAACACAACAAUAGCAGAAACGCGUUCCAAAUCUCACAACACAACAAUAGCAGAAACGCGUUCCAAAUCUCACAACACAACGGAAGUGUUUCAGGGGGGUCACAAAAAGUGAUGCACCGGUCUGAGAAGUGUUUUCGGUUUACAUUCCAUUCGUCCGUGGAACUUUUGUGAGUUUACAUCGAUCAAAUGAAAGCUAAAGGACCUGUUAUUACAUUGAGAGCAUCCCGACCAGAUGCAUAGUGUGAUAUGGUAGCAUGAUAGAAAUGAACUGCCAGAGCCUGUAGAGAGGGAUAAAGUCUACUGUGAGGAACACCACUGCCUUCCUGCAGGUCUACCAGUACAGAAAGGAGCCGGUUCCAUUGUUAAAAUGCCCACUUAAACCAAACUGUUUCCACCUACAUCCUCUGGCAAUACAUACAGAAGUGUAAGCUACAGGACGUAAAGAUUGAGGAACAGUUUUAUCCAGCAGCCAUCAGUGUUCAAUAUGUCAAAAACAUUAAUUGACCCCAAUAUCAAUGUCAUUAUUUUAAUCUCUACACAAACAUUACUUCAAUACUGCAGGUUUUGAUACACAUAAUCAUAGCCUAGUGGUUAGAGGGUUGGACUUGUAACCCGAAAGUUGCCAGUUCGACUUUCCGUCUCUGCCGGCAGGUUGCAACUGUGAUGUCCUUGAACAAGGCACCUUAAACCCAAUUGCUCCCCGGGCACUGAAGGAAUAGCUUCCCACUGCUCCAUGUGUGUUCACCACUUACUGGGAUGGGUUAAAUGCAGAGGUCACAUUUUGAGUAUGCGCUGCAUACUUGGCAAGCAUGUCACACUUACACUGCACAGACAACAUAUAUUGUCUUUAUAUCUAUCUAUAUAUGUAUAUGUACACACUUUAUUAUUUUAAUGACAAUCACAGUUUAAUGUAAUGUGGCAAUAAAAAGGAAGAAUGUCAUUGUACAGGUAUCUAUACAUAUGAAAAUAAAGGCUUUAAACUUCAAA